RNAcentral lists this long non-coding RNA (1219 nucleotides) under Bemisia tabaci. RNAcentral's name for it is "lncRNA ENSSSA2NGG000695". The record is from RNAcentral. Lineage: Eukaryota; Metazoa; Arthropoda; Insecta; Hemiptera; Aleyrodidae.
UUUGACGUCAUGACCAAACAGCUAAUCCGGUUUGGUCAUUGAUGAAUAAGAUGACGAAAGGAAGGCUGUCAAAGAAGAUGCUUGAUUCGGUUCCUCCAUCGGAAACGAAGGAUACAGUUCAAUAUGGACCAAGAGACAGAAUUCGUGAAUGUUACAAGAGAGAACAUUUUUCGUACACCUGAUUGGCACAAACAACGCGUAAUAAUGCGGUGAGAUAAAACAGUUCCAGGGGAAUCCCGUGCGGCGCUGUUGGGCGCUACACCUCAGAGCCGCUAUAAACAGCCCAUUUGUGCCACGGAAGAGAACAGUAACUCCAUCAGGACGUGAGCCGCGAUUAUCGCGCGCUCUCAUGCACUUCCAGGCUCACUUCAGAAUAAACGUUACUUUUAUUUUUCGUAGCGUGUAAUCUAGCGCCACGCUCAGCGGAGACUCGGUUUUCCUCAGUCUGAGAUCGUGCAGGCGCGGCGUUUAAAAAACCCAACAUUGGUAAAACCCGGCAGAACUUGAUGCUGAAAAAUGUUAUACUUCCCCCUUCCCGUCGGAAAUCACGCUGAAAAGUCCGAUGUUUCGCUUAUGCCAAGACUCAAUCAGUAUAUCUGCUGUCAAAGGUGCUGGUUAUUUCUUUAAAACGGUGCUCUUGUCAACGCGGUAAAAGGUCAGUAUAAAGCAUUCAGUUUCUGCACUAAGCAUAAGUGACUAGCAAUGGAGAAAAGGGCCGUAGGGUUUAACUGGGGUUUUUCUAUUCAUGAAAUGAAAUACGUUGAAAAUUGAAAUUCUUGAUGUCAAACCCCCCUCCCCCACGAUACGAUUUGUAAAGCACAUAACUGCUGAGAGCUGCCGAAAAUGAUACUUCAUUUUCAAUUGAAUCGGUGAGUUCGGAAACACACCAACUCGGAAAAAAAAUGUUCAGGAAACACCUAAAACUGCGCAGCGGGCGAAGAAGUUAGUUUAAGAAAAACCUUUUUGGUGCCAAAGGACAAGUACUUGGAGACUUUGUAAAGCACCAAGUUGAAAUCGAUACACCAUGUUUGAUGACAGAGAAAUAAGCGUUUACAAAUUUCCGAGUUGGUGUGUUUUCGUUCUCACCGAAUUUCAGAUACUGAUUUAUCAUAGUCUGCCCUGAAACAUUUAUAUUUUUCGACCUGAAUAACGCUUGAAUAUUUAUAUAACUAGUUGGUACAAGGUAUACUAAACCGAAAAAAAAACCGCAAAAUCGGAU